AGAGAGAGAGAGAGAGAGAGAGAGAGAGAGAGAGAGAGAGAGAGAGAGAGAGAGAGAGAGAGAGAGAGAAACGAUAAGCAAGAGUGUGAUGAUCCUAUUUACUGAUGAGUACGUGUAUUAAUAUGUGUGUGUGUGUACGUACAUGCGUGCAUGCAUGCAUGCAUGCAUGCGUGUAUGUAUAUGUAUAUACGUGUACAUGCUACUAUGCGCGUGAUUGGCAUAAUUCGACGGUUCGAUGCAAACAUCGAUGACGUCAUUACGUACACCCACACGAAUAUACAUAGUACAGUCCUCUCUCUCUCUCUCUCUCUCUCUCUCUUUUUUCUCUUCCUCCCAUUCUCUCUAUCUCAUUCUCUCUCUCACUCUUCUUUACAAAGCCAACGGCACUUCCUUUGACGUAUUUCACGUUACGACGUGGUUCAACGGUGCCGCCAUGGAGAACACGUGAACACGUACCGUGACGAGUUAGAGGAGAGUCGAUAAAGAGUUACUGCUAGUCAGACAAAGAGAAGUACAAGAGAUGUGAAGGAGAAGGGGAAGCGAGAAAAAGAAAGA
Long non-coding RNA from Vespa crabro (European hornet), 555 nucleotides. RefSeq lists it as uncharacterized. Lineage: Eukaryota; Metazoa; Arthropoda; Insecta; Hymenoptera; Vespidae. The transcript is spliced from 2 exons. The record is from RefSeq and is a predicted model, not a curated record.